AUAAACUCUUAAUUAAACUGAAGAAUUCAGUGUUGCCAUUACCAGUCAGUAAUUCCACUCAAUUAGGACAAUAGACUUCCAUUUAUUACUGAACUCCUAAUUGCUACUCAUUUUCCUGGUUAGUAAUUGCCAAUCCUAUCAGACAAUGUGCUUAAAGAAAAUUCUGCCAUGAAAUUAUAUUUCUCUCCAUCACGGGAAAGGUGGAAUCAGAGUCCUUACGUGGUCAGGAGUUGGGUCCUCUUCUCUAGCUCCAUGCGUCUCCAGGCUCGGGGGUUUUAAAGGCUGGUGUGCCCCAGGGUUGGCUGCUGGUGCUGCGAUCCGCGGGAGACUUGCCCACAAAGGAAAGGCGUAUCCAGGUAGCCAGAGAAUCCCAAAGCCAAACCUAGCCGAAGAGGAUGCAAAAACAAAACCACCCGAAGCGGUCUCCGCAUUUCCAGAAGACUAAGUUCAAAGUCUCCAGGCAGGGCGCAUUUUAGGUCUUGAGGUGUACGUCCACGUCAGGGGGCAGGUUCGGCAUCUGCUGCUUCUCAGCCUCAGGAGACUCAAGACGGAAGUCCGAGGGUGGCAGCCGUGCGGUACCACGGCUGGAGCCAGCCGGCCUCUGCCUCUGCCUCCCCGGGUCUGGCUUCCGAGUUGACAAUGGGCUCAAGCCAUUUACAGCCGGAAGAUGCUCUGAAUGAAGUAUCUACUCCAACUUCAUGUUACAGAGGAGGGAACUGAAGCAGAAAGGAUGAAGGAGCUGUGAAGAUGAUCAUCUCUAUUGAAGGCUCAGCCAUGAGGCAGUCCGUGAGCCUCCUGGGAAGCCUAGAGGUUUGUUUCUACAUGUCUGGUGGCUGCAGAGUUUGGAGAGCCGUGCCAACUGCAGUACCAGCCAAAUUGAGGAAUGGGGGAUUAUCUGCUCACAGCCAGAUCAGGGUGAGAGAAAAGAGACCAGCAAAUAGCCCUGACACAUGCGUAGACUACAAAGUAUGUUGCAGGUGGGGGGAGCAUAAACAAACGCAUGGAGCAUAUUAAGAAGAGAGUCGGGGCAGGCGGGGUGGCUCAUGCCUGUAACCCCAGCACUUUCGGAGGCUGAGGCGGGAGAAUCACUUGAGGUCAGGAGUUUGAGACCAGCCUAGCCAACAUGGUGAAACCCUGUCUCUACUAAAAAUAUAUAAAGUUAGUCAGGCGUGAUGGCCAGUGCCUGUAAUCCCAGCUACCUGGGUGGCUGAGGCAGAAGAACCGCUUGAACCUGGAGGUGGAGGUUGCGGUGAGCUGAGAUAGCACCACUGCACUCCAGCCUGGGGGACAGAGUGAGACCCUGUCUCAAAACAAACAAACAAACAAACAAACAAACAAAGACUGGGUAAACCCGUUGCUAGGAACAAAAGCUUCCUGUCAAGGAGUAGCCUGGUGUGGGUCUUGGAACUUUCCUCCAGCAAAGCGGGCAGCAUGGCCUAUGAACCAAAAGCUUUGAAACAGACACCCACAAAUGGGCUCUGUCACACCACGUCUGGUGUCACAUUCAGGAGCACCUAAUCUUUCACAUUUGCCUUGGGACCCAUCUGGGGUGGGGGCAGGUGGGGUGGGGACAGGUGGGGUGGGUAUCAGCAGCCUCUCUUCCUGAGCCUUACUCAAGUCACACACAAAGGCAGGCCAGGACUGGAACCAACUUUUCUGUCUUAGUUCCAAGCACUUUGCCACCCAUGUUGCCAAUCUAGGUAAAAUUGUAAAUCUGAAAGAUGACACCUUAACUACAAGUUCCUUUAACUCUGGAGAGAGUUAAAUAAAAAUAAUGUAGUGGGCACUCUGCUUACUAGAAGUGUUAUAAAUAUCAAUACAAUGAAACAUUUGAAACCGAUGGCACUCUGAAAGGACAGCUAUGGUAAAUGAGGAAAACAACACGAAAAAGGCCAUUAUUUUGCUUAUUGGGAGAGUUUUCCAUUCACAACUACACGUAUGUUUGUUACAACUGGGAAAUCUGUUAUGUUUUGUUGACAACUCAGACUGUUUCUACAUUCCUGCCACAUUGCUGGGAGAUUUCCAGGCUCAAGGAGAUAAUACGUUCAUGUGUUUAGGCACCAGGGCUUUUAGUGUAUUUACGAUUUAACAGAAGUUUCUUUUCGGUCAUAAAAUAUAAAACUAUGAUGACCGGCUCAAAGGUCUGGAGGGACGAGCUUGGGAAAAGGAAAUUACCCUACUAGUCUAACAAUGCUACCCUUCUCUUCAAAACAGAUCCUCAGAGCUGCUUCAACCACUACCCUAUAUCCAAAGAGUUUCUAAAAUAAAGGAACAGUAUGCCCCCAAAAGUUCUAACAACCUCUAGGGAGAUAGGGGAUGGUAAGAACAAGGCAGUUUGAGUCAGAAAGAUCUGAGUUCUGA
RNAcentral lists this long non-coding RNA (2361 nucleotides) under Homo sapiens (human). RNAcentral describes it as "HSALNT0124145". Lineage: Eukaryota; Metazoa; Chordata; Mammalia; Primates; Hominidae. The record is from RNAcentral.